RNAcentral lists this ribosomal RNA (253 nucleotides) under uncultured bacterium. RNAcentral describes it as "partial 16S ribosomal RNA". It matches the Rfam family "Bacterial small subunit ribosomal RNA", at positions 524 to 776 of the family's 1533-position model. The record is from RNAcentral.
UACGUAGGGUGCAAGCGUUGUCCGGAAUUAUUGGGCGUAAAGAGCUCGUAGGCGGUCUGUCACGUCGGCUGUGAAAUCCCGAGGCUCAACCUCGGGUCUGCAGUCGAUACGGGCAAACUAGAGUAUUGCAGGGGAGACUGGAAUUCCUGGUGUAGCGGUGAAAUGCGCAGAUAUCAGGAGGAACACCGGUGGCGAAGGCGGGACUCUGGGCCGAUACUGACGCUGAGGAGCGAAAGCGUGGGGAGCGAACAGG